GUUGGCUGGUGGACGCUUGUGGGGCGGCUUGUGUUUUGGCGGAAACUUUUCACCCUUUCCCUUGUGUGAGUCAUCGAUUAUUUCUUCCUCAACUAAAAGAUGUCCGUGUGGUGGCUUAUAUCCCUUACCCUUAUGCGAGUCCUCCACGACAUCCUCUGCCAAAAGGCGUCUAUAUCCUGGCAGAGGAUUUUGUGAUGGAAACUUCUCUCCCUUACUCUUAGGAGGUUUAAAAGAAUCCUCUUCAUCCUCAACUAGAAGGUGUCCAUGUGGGGGUUGGUGUUUAGGUGGUGUUUUCUCACCCUUAUCCUUUGGAGGUCCAUGAAAGUCCCCUACAUUCUCACUUAAAAGGUGAACACGUGGGGGCUUAUGGUUUAGGGGUGGUUUCUCGCCUUUACCUUUAGGAGGUUCUAGGCGAUUAGCCAGUGAUGUGGGGGUAGCAGAGAGAAUCACUACUACUCCGAGCAGGAAUAACACUAACAAGCAUUUAGGAGAAGACAUCUUUGUUUUGAUUUUUGUUCGAGGUGCGAAACUCAGAAGGAUUGGUUUGCCUUUUAUAGUACUACAUGGUUAGACCUAUGCCGUCACCACCCAUGUCACACAGCAUUUGGCGUUUACAAUCCAGUAGGCGAGUUCAUUUUCAACUUUGGCUCGUGGGAAAUUUUCGUUAGGGAGAGAGGUAAUGGGUCCGAAUUUGAGUUGAAAACUUUGACAGAUUCGCCAAGGUUGCUCUCUCCCCAACAUAGAUCUUCUCAUACUUAUAAAUUAAGUACAAUUUUGGAACUAAAGCCAUUCCCUGUAAUUCUUAACCUCAAGCUUCAUUGUCUCUAGGCAAGACUACUAUUUCCCACCUUCUUUUGUAGAAAUUUGACAUCUUGACACCAUAAAUUAGAAGUCCAGAUAGAAUUUUUUUUUUCUCAGUAGUAAUUAAUGUGAUUAAUAAGUGGAUAAAAAAAUUAAUUUUUAUAUUUUCUUUGAAUCAUGAAAUCCG
RNAcentral lists this unclassified non-coding RNA (988 nucleotides) under Hevea brasiliensis (rubber tree). Lineage: Eukaryota; Viridiplantae; Streptophyta; Magnoliopsida; Malpighiales; Euphorbiaceae. The record is from RNAcentral.